CUUGCCCGUGAGCUAUCUGUGAGAGGAGGAGUCUUACUGCUGCAAUUCCGCCAAGCCUACGUCGCCAACACACGCGCUGAUACAGUCAUCCGACAUUAUCGACAUAUGUGUGUGGAGGGAAGAUCGCGGGUGAGGUUUUACUCGCAUUCAUUUGUGACGGGGAAAUGGUCCUUGGCAGCAACAGAUUUGGAGAUAAUAUACAAAACAGUCCUUGGAGUAAGGAGUAUGAACAUAGCUGAAUGAGAGCUGCCAGCAUGAAGAUUUCUGUUUAGCAAGAUAGUUGUGGACAAGCAGUUCGUGGAGCCUUCCCCAAGGCAAAAUGCGAGCAGCUUGUUUAAAUAUUAUUUUGACACUGUAUGCUUCCAAAUUAAUGUACAAAAUUAUAAGAACAUUUGCCAUAAGGACAAAGAUUAUGUAAAUUACAGCGCACAUGGCAAAAGGCAUAUGUUACUGUAACAUAACAUGCACUUCACACAGGGGCCUUAGGCUAACUCUAAAAUAAAUCUUGAAGAUAGA
Long non-coding RNA from Bufo gargarizans (Asiatic toad), 516 nucleotides. RefSeq lists it as uncharacterized. NCBI's taxonomy places the organism in Eukaryota, Metazoa, Chordata, Amphibia, Anura, Bufonidae. The transcript has 3 exons. The record is from RefSeq and is a predicted model, not a curated record.